UACGAGAGGCCCAAACGUUAUUCGGAUUUACUGGGCUUAAAGAGUUCGUAGGCGGCGCGGAAAGUAGGGUGUGAAAGCCCUCGGCUCAACCGAGGAAUUGCGCUCUAAACUACCGUGCUUGAGGAACCUAGAGGUGAGCAGAACUGAUGGUGGAGCGGUGAAAUGCGUUGAUAUCAUCAGGAAUACCGGAGGCGAAGGCGGCUCACUGGGGGUUAUCUGACGCUGAGGAACGAAAGCCAGGGGAGCAAACGGG
RNAcentral lists this ribosomal RNA (253 nucleotides) under uncultured bacterium. RNAcentral's name for it is "partial 16S ribosomal RNA". It matches the Rfam family "Bacterial small subunit ribosomal RNA", at positions 524 to 776 of the family's 1533-position model. The record is from RNAcentral.